GACGAACGCUGGCGGCGUGCUUAACACAUGCAAGUCGAACGGAAAGGCCCUGCUUUUGUGGGGUGCUCGAGUGGCGAACGGGUGAGUAACACGUGAGUAACCUGCCCUUGACUUUGGGAUAACUUCAGGAAACUGGGGCUAAUACCGGAUAGGAGCUCCUGCUGCAUGGUGGGGGUUGGAAAGUUUCGGCGGUUGGGGAUGGACUCGCGGCUUAUCAGCUUGUUGGUGGGGUAGUGGCUUACCAAGGCUUUGACGGGUAGCCGGCCUGAGAGGGUGACCGGCCACAUUGGGACUGAGAUACGGACCAGACUCGUACGGGAGGCAGCAGUGGGGAAUAUUGCACAAUGGGAGGAAGCCUGAUGAAGCAACGCCGCGUGCGGGAUGACGGCCUUCGGGUUGUGAACCGCUUUCGCCUGUGACGAAGCGUGAGUGACGGUAAUGGGUAAAGAAGCACCGGCUAACUACGUG
This 468-nucleotide ribosomal RNA is filed under the name uncultured bacterium. RNAcentral's name for it is "partial 16S ribosomal RNA". It matches the Rfam family "Bacterial small subunit ribosomal RNA", at positions 28 to 507 of the family's 1533-position model. The record is from RNAcentral.